RNAcentral lists this ribosomal RNA (421 nucleotides) under uncultured bacterium. RNAcentral's name for it is "partial 16S ribosomal RNA". It matches the Rfam family "Bacterial small subunit ribosomal RNA", at positions 360 to 773 of the family's 1533-position model. The record is from RNAcentral.
AAUAUUGGACAAUGGGGGCAACCCCGCUCCAGCCAUGCCGCGUGUGUGACGAAGGUCUUCGGCUUGUAAAGCACUUUAAUUUGGGGGGAAGGGCUGUAGGUUAAUACCCUGAAGGUUUGACGUUAGCAACAGAAUAAGCACCGGCUAACUAUGUCCCAGCAGCCGCGGUAGUACAGAGGGUGCAAGCGUUAAUCGGAAUUACUGGGCGUAAAGCGGGCGUAGGUGGUUCAGUAAGAUGGGUGUGAAAUCCCCGGGCUUAACCUGGGAACUGCUUUCAUAACUGCUGAGCUAGAGUACGGUAGAGGGUAGUGGAAUUUCCUGUGUAGCGGUGAAAUGCGUAGAUAUAGGAAGGAACACCAGUGGCGAAGGCGACUACCUGGACUGAUACUGACACUGAGGUGCGAAAGCGUGGGGAGCAAAC